Molecule: long non-coding RNA, 1515 nt
Organism: Bombus impatiens (common eastern bumble bee)
Lineage: Eukaryota; Metazoa; Arthropoda; Insecta; Hymenoptera; Apidae
Exons: 4
Source: RefSeq, a predicted model, not a curated record
CAUCCAACAAUUAUGAAUAGCAAGCCCCUGGUAAUCUCACAAAAAAUCCUUUAUAUUCUUACAAUAUUAAUGGGAACACUAAAAGCCACGGUAAAAUCGAGCGUAGAACUACACGAUAUGCGUAUCACAAAUUAAACUGGUAAACAGUGCUGCGCACGCAUCAUCGACCGGAAUAUCGAUCGCAGAGCCGUUUCGUGUUAAUUCUUACAACUAUCGAAAUGAAACGCCACUGCGAAUGCGUCGUUUGUACGUUGUGUCGUAAACAUGGACCCCUUGCGUCAAUUACAUAACUUAUGUUACAUUACUAAUUGUAUAACAAAGCAAUCGAAUUGCUUGUUUCGUGUGUAAAUCGUAUGUAAAUUAUAAGACAUCAAUUAUCAAUUAAUAUACUGUGGAAAGUGUAAGUUGGAGAAAUCAAAGUAAACGCGAAAGUGUGUUACUGAAUCGAGUAGUCCGAGAAAAUACGUGUUCGAAGUUGUGCGAGCAUAAUCAGGUUAGCUGAUCGACCGGUUGAUAUGUAUUUACUGGGAUAAUUCAUUGUCAAGCAAUUCGUGUGUGCAAUAAGUGUCCACAGCAUCGGAGUUUGUCAAAGUCCGAAAUACGGAAAGCCAGUCAGAUCGAUGGAUGGUUCGCGAAAGUCAGGUUGAAUGGCGAAUCUUCUCGAUGAUGGAACGACGUCGUGACAAAUAUUUUGGAUGGAAUAACAUACUGUCGACUUCAGUUUUGCUUGACGAGCCAAGUUACAUUUCAACAUCCGCUAGAACGAAAAUAGAAUCUUAUACUACUCAAAUAUCGACCGCUUGAUAGAAGGACAAUUACAAUUCAUCCAUGGAAUAGAAUCAAACUUUAAGGAAGCCCAUCCCCUGUUUCAUUUAAGAGGAUAGCAGUUUCCAUCCAUUCUUCACCGAUUACUAGCUCGACUGCUUCUCAAGGAGAGGGUGAAUUAAGCUUGAAAGAUGACGUUGGGACGCUCGUCGGAUAUUUUCCUUUACGAUCAAAUUCCACGAAUUCGUCGGCGGUUCAGCAGCCUGUGCAUGGUCUUAUCGCUGUUUAUGACAUCGAACAUAACGUUUCGAAGGAGGAGCAAUCUCUGUCCAAGACUUUCUACGCUCGAUACAUUAAAGGGAACUUUACGAUCAGGCCGAGUUCCCUGCCAAGAUUGAUUGAAAAUGCCCGACUCGAAAUGCGAAACCAUCUCAGGAUUCCCUCUCACCUUACCUGUACCAUCAUUCUUGUCAUGCAAAUCGUGUAAACGGAUCGACAAAGGAAGAUGUUUCAAGAACCGAUCAAACAUAAUCCACCAAUGUAUUAACGCCGAAUGGUGAACGCUGAGAACACUGUACGUACUAUGUACUAACCUAGCCGAACGUGCCAUAAGUGUUAUUUCGAGAGCACACUGACGUCUAAUAGGUGAGACAUUACGGUAGCCUUAAAUUCUUGAACACCUUUCUUCCUACUUCCUGUGUACACUUCCGCGGUCAGCCAUAAAAAUCGUUAAAAGCCCAUUAAUUGUAG